This 227-nucleotide ribosomal RNA is filed under the name uncultured bacterium. RNAcentral's name for it is "partial 16S ribosomal RNA". It matches the Rfam family "Bacterial small subunit ribosomal RNA", at positions 524 to 750 of the family's 1533-position model. The record is from RNAcentral.
UACGUAGGAUGCGAGCGUUAAUCGGAAUUACUGGGCGUAAAGCGUGCGCAGGCGGUGAUGUAAGACCGAUGUGAAAUCCCCGGGCUUAACCUGGGAACUGCAUUGGUGACUGCAUCGCUCGAGUAUGGCAGAGGGGGGUAGAAUUCCACGUGUAGCAGUGAAAUGCGUAGAGAUGUGGAGGAAUACCGAUGGCGAAGGCAGCCCCCUGGGUCAAUACUGACGCUCAU